This 396-nucleotide ribosomal RNA is filed under the name uncultured bacterium. RNAcentral's name for it is "bacterial SSU rRNA". It matches the Rfam family "Bacterial small subunit ribosomal RNA", at positions 359 to 773 of the family's 1533-position model. The record is from RNAcentral.
GAAUAUUGCACAAUGGAGGAAACUCUGAUGCAGCGACGCCGCGUGAACGAAGAAGGCCUUCGGGUUGUAAAGUUCUGUCUUUGGGGAAGAUAAUGACGGUACCCAAGGAGGAAGCCCCGGCUAACUACGUGCGAGCAGCCGCGGUAAUACGUAGGGGGCUAGCGUUGUCCGGAAUUAUUGGGCGUAAAGGGUUCGCAGGCGGCCAUGUAAGUCAGAUGUGAAAGACAGCGGCUUAACCGUUGCAAGCAUUUGAAACUGUGUGGCUUGAGUUAAGGAGAGGAAAGCGGAAUUCCUAGUGUAGCGGUGAAAUGCGUAGAUAUUAGGAGGAAUACCAGUGGCGAAGGCGGCUUUCUGGCCUUUAACUGACGCUGAGGAACGAAAGCGUGGGGAGCAAAC